Molecule: long non-coding RNA, 843 nt
Filed under: Homo sapiens (human)
Lineage: Eukaryota; Metazoa; Chordata; Mammalia; Primates; Hominidae
Description: HSALNT0301238
Source: RNAcentral
GCAUUUCUGGUGGCCCGUACAGGAACUGGAGACGACAGAUUUACUGUCUCCUUUGCCUGGGGGACUUAGGGCCCUGGGGCUCGGGGAGACCCGGCAUCCAAGGCGCGCCAUGGGGGAGCUUCACCUGGAUGGAGACUGGCUCUCCCCGCGUCCCAGUGCCCUGCCCGGCAGCGCAACAGAACCGGAGACUGGGCUGCAGGACGAUACCAGCACUUCAGGAACCACGUUGCAGGUGUCACACCUUGGAUUCACCAUAGCCAGCAGAAACCAGUGGCAACAGAGACUCCCGAUGAUAACCAGUGGAUUAACCAACAAGACCCAGAUCGCCCCACCUGAAUAGUCCUACGGCGAAACCCAACCACCGGUAAGAAGGACAACUGGCCUGCUCUGACCACACCGGAGGAUGGUCAGUCUAUGCACGGCUGAAGCUUGAGGAUCCUGCAAGCUCUGCUCUAGUCACAUCCUGGAAGCUGACUAGUCUACGCACAGUCGAAGCUAAGAGGACCAUAUCCGGAUAAGUUAAAGAAAGAGGGACCAAUUAACUUCACCUUUUCCUAAACUUGAAAAGACAAACCAAAUUCUGCCCUUCAUCUCCAAUGUUUGAAAGAUCAGAGGUUCCUGUCAAGAACAUGGGUCCGUGUGUGGUUCACUCUGAAGCAUCUGUCUUCCUGUGAAAGAGCUUGCGGCUGGUGAGUGGAUACUGAGCCCAACUUCUGCAGGCUGCCCUCCCCUCUGGAUACCAAGCCCACCCAUGGCAAUCCCUUCAAGGCGUGACUCUCAUGAUAAUUAAAUGUGUGAUAAUGUGAAAAGGAAUUUUCAGAGAAACCAAGUCAAGGACUGGUG